CUCAGUUCGGAUCGGAGUCUGNAACCCGACUCCGUGAAGCUGGAUUCGCUAGUAACCGCGCAUCAGCCAUGGCGCGGUGAAUACGUUCCCGGGCCUUGUACACACCGCCCGUCAAGCCAUGGAAGCCGGGGGUGCCUGAAGUGUGCAGCCGCAAGGAGCGCCCUAAGGUAAAACCGGUGACUGGGGCUAAGUCGUAACAAGGUAAC
RNAcentral lists this ribosomal RNA (206 nucleotides) under uncultured bacterium. RNAcentral's name for it is "partial 16S ribosomal RNA". It matches the Rfam family "Bacterial small subunit ribosomal RNA", at positions 1287 to 1500 of the family's 1533-position model. The record is from RNAcentral.